Long non-coding RNA from Helianthus annuus (common sunflower), 744 nucleotides. RefSeq lists it as uncharacterized. The transcript has 2 exons. The record is from RefSeq and is a predicted model, not a curated record. Lineage: Eukaryota; Viridiplantae; Streptophyta; Magnoliopsida; Asterales; Asteraceae.
GUGGAUCAAAUAUGGAUGAAAAUGUUUAAUGAUGGUUGAAAAGCGGUUGAUAAUGAGUCCAACUUGAAUCAUCUGGUACUAUCUAACCUCCUUUUCUUUUCAUACUGGGUUCUUUCAUAAAAAUUAUAGAAUUGAUCGAAUUGGUUAUUUUUAUAACAAAACGGGUCAAAAGUUUGAAGUCGCCCAAAAUAUAUUGUUAUGUGUUAAACCCGACCUGUCCUGUUUGGACAAACCAAGCUGCCACAUCUUUUAAGUCAUAUAUAAUACGAUUUAUAUGUAUCAUGUUGCAAAUGUUAUCAAAGGCAAACAUUUAUACAACAAUGGAAGUGGUUAGUCCGGAAGUUUCUAUUACACGCACGGAUUUAUUUUUGUUCGAAGGCUUUUCAACUCACGUUAUGCACGAGGCGUCAUCCUUUUUGAGAGACCCACUAUCCAUAAAGUUGCAAGGAUUCUACAGUCAUUACUUGCAGCUGCUCAAAAGACGAGUCUGAAUGGUGAAAAAAGGAUGGAUAUAUAGAGCUUCAUUCACAGCACCAACAUCCAUAGCAAAACAAGGAUGGAACAAUAUCUGUUACGGAAAGGAAACGAAACUUAACUCAUUGAAGUUUCGAGCGAAGAAAACAUUCAUGAAUUUGUAAAUAAUUUGCCUUAUGUGUGUGACAUGAUUGUGACUACCAUGGAAUUGAUCAACCGAAUGGAGUGGGUGGUUACAAAUAACACAGAUUAAUAAGUUACAGUUGGAUU